Molecule: long non-coding RNA, 304 nt
Filed under: Lynx canadensis (Canada lynx)
Lineage: Eukaryota; Metazoa; Chordata; Mammalia; Carnivora; Felidae
Description: lncRNA (ENSLCNG00005020500.1)
Source: RNAcentral
CCUGGAAAACCCGGGGCAGAGCGUGGCUGGCGCGGAGUCGCGGGACAGCUCGGGCCCGGGUCGAGGCACCAGCCAGAGUUUCGCAGACAGCAGUGAGCAAACCGGCAGCCAUGCCCGUCGCCAUGUGUGAAAGGAGAACCAAAAGGAAGCCAGCACGCAAGACCCCUCGUGACUGAGGGAAAAGCAGCACCAGAAGAGCUCGCAAGAAGUGGACUGAGCAUCUACAGUCUGCCAGACACAGGUGGAGAAAGAGAGCGGAGGCUUACGGAGGAACCGCCAUCCCCACGUGAAUCAUCACAGCACA